Molecule: non-coding RNA, 1131 nt
Organism: Lolium perenne
Lineage: Eukaryota; Viridiplantae; Streptophyta; Magnoliopsida; Poales; Poaceae
Source: RefSeq, a predicted model, not a curated record
GAAGGUAUAAUAGCUGCCCCCCCAUGGGGGCUUCACAGCGAUCCUCGCACGAGAGCCAUCGGAUCUUCCUUGCGACGAAUCUCGGCCGUCCGUUUUUCUUCACUGAGACAUAUAAAACGGACACAGCCACGGUGAGAAACCCUAGCCGCCGCCCGUCUCUCCCCAAUCCCGCGUCUCUCAUCCUUCCCCAAUCCCGUCGCUCUCCUCCUCCCCCAAUCCCAUCGUGGUUAACCCGCCGUCUCCCCAUCUUCCGGAUGAACUCGUCGCGUCGCCAUCGUCGGGAUGAAGGGCAGGCCGCCGCUCAUGCCCCCAGCCAUCUCGCCGGGAUGAAGGGCAGGCCACCGCUCAUGCCCCCAGCCAUCUCGCCGCUCGCAGUGCCGACGCGUCGUGCCGUCGCAGGGAGGAGCGUGGUUCGUGGCCGGCAGAUGCAGAGCAGUCCGUAGCUCGCACUGCCGCCGCGCCAUGCUUCGUCAUCGUCGGAAGGUCGCGAGGAGGCGAGGUCUGGAGGAAGCGCUCGAGCGGCGGCCGUCUGGGCUGUGCCCCUCCACCCUAUUUUUUGGGGCAGAAGGAGGGCUUCCAUGAUGUUAGCUGAUUCGUUGCUGCUAGUGAGAGAGAUGGGAAGUGGAAGAACAAAAGUUGAAGGAGAUGGAACAGGACACACCGAAUAACCACAUAUCUGCUCCAACAAAGGAGUGAACUACACUCACUCGGCAAUAAUCAGGAGUAGAUGAGGCGACAUGAAGAUUGCACGAGGAUGCGAGCUCGACAACAGGGCGAAAGGAUGAUGGCAUGAGGAUGCGGGUACAUUUUUAAAGUGCAUACUGCAGGUGUGCAAGAUGGUGGCUGACGAAUAUUCUUGAGUUCAACAAAAUGAAGUUUACUUAUCAGUUUGGUUUCAAUCUCAGUUCACCUUUGAUCAUUUUCUGAAGCAAAGUAAAACAGGGAAGUGCUCGAUGUUAUGUGCAUUCUCGCUGACUGUCUGUCGACGCAACGGGAGGGGUCGGUGUCAUGUACACUAAUUGAGUGGCGUGGAGGAGCUCCACCGUGAAGGAAACAGCUGGUUGGCAAUGGCUAAUUGUUGCAGCAGUGGUGUCAUUUAGAUUCGGGUUCAUGAAGAGCAUCCGAUGGACA